GACGAACGCGGGGGCGUGCUUAACACAUGCAAGUCGAACGAAGAGCGAUGGAAGCUUGCUUCUAUCAAUUUUAGUGGCGAACGGGUGAGUAACGCGUAAUCAACCUGCCCUUCAGAGGGGGACAACAGUUGGAAACGACUGCUAAUACCGCAUACGAUCUAAUCUCGGCAUCGAGGAUAGAUGAAAGGUGGCCUCUACAUGUAAGCUAUCACUGAAGGAGGGGAUUGCGUCUGAUUAGCUAGUUGGAGGGGUAACGGCCCACCAAGGCGAUGAUCAGUAGCCGGUCUGAGAGGAUGAACGGCCACAUUGGGACUGAGACACGGCCCAGACUCCUACGGGAGGCAGCAGUGGGAAAUCUUCCGCAAUGGACGAAAGUCUGACGGAGCAACGCCGCGUGAGUGAUGGCGGCCUUCGGGUUGUAAAGCUCUGUUAAUCGGGACGAAAGGCCUUCUUGCGAAUAGUGAGAAG
RNAcentral lists this ribosomal RNA (468 nucleotides) under Veillonella parvula. RNAcentral's name for it is "bacterial SSU rRNA". It matches the Rfam family "Bacterial small subunit ribosomal RNA", at positions 28 to 474 of the family's 1533-position model. The record is from RNAcentral. Lineage: Bacteria; Bacillati; Bacillota; Negativicutes; Veillonellales; Veillonellaceae.